Molecule: ribosomal RNA, 503 nt
Filed under: uncultured bacterium
Lineage: Bacteria
Description: bacterial SSU rRNA
Rfam family: Bacterial small subunit ribosomal RNA
Source: RNAcentral
UAGUCCACGCCGUAAACGAUGUCAACUAGCCGUUGGAUUCCUUGAGGAUUUAGUGGCGCAGCUAACGCGAUAAGUUGACCGCCUGGGGAGUACGGCCGCAAGGUUAAAACUCAAAUGAAUUGACGGGGGCCCGCACAAGCGGUGGAGCAUGUGGUUUAAUUCGACGCAACGCGAAGAACCUUACCAGGUCUUGACAUCCUAGAAACUUAGCAGAGAUGCUUUGGUGCCUUCGGGAAUCUAGUGACAGGUGCUGCAUGGCUGUCGUCAGCUCGUGUCGUGAGAUGUUGGGUUAAGUCCGCAACGAGCGCAACCCCUAUUGUUAGUUGCCAGCGAGUAAUGUCGGGGACUCUAACGAGACUGCCCGCGUAAGCGGAGAGGAAGGUGGGGACGACGUCAAAUCAUCAUGGCCUUUAUGCCUAGGGCUACACACGUGCUACAAUGGCAGGUACAGAGGGUUGCGAAGGGGUGACCUGGAGCUAAUCUCAGAAAGCCUGUCCCAGUUC